GACGAACGCUGGCGGCGUGCUUAACACAUGCAAGUCGAACGGUAAGGCCCUUCGGGGUACACGAGUGGCGAACGGGUGAGUAACACGUGGGUGAUCUGCCCUGCACUUCGGGAUAAGCCUGGGAAACUGGGUCUAAUACCGGAUAGGACCACUGCCUGCAUGGGUGGUGGUGGAAAGCUUUUGCGGUAUGGGAUGGGCCCGCGGCCUAUCAGCUUGUUGGUGGGGUGAUGGCCUACCAAGGCGACGACGGGUAGCCGGCCUGAGAGGGUGACCGGCCACAAUGGGACUGAGAUACGGCGCAGACUCCUACGGGAGGCAGCAGUGGGGAAUAUUGCACAAUGGGCGCAAGCCUGAUGCAGCGACGCCGCGUGAGGGAUGACGGCCUUCGGGUUGUAAACCUCUUUCAGCACCGACGAAGCGCAAGUGACGGUAGGUGCAGAAGAAGGACCGGCCAACUACGUGCCAGCAGCCGCGGUAA
RNAcentral lists this ribosomal RNA (478 nucleotides) under uncultured bacterium. RNAcentral's name for it is "partial 16S ribosomal RNA". It matches the Rfam family "Bacterial small subunit ribosomal RNA", at positions 28 to 523 of the family's 1533-position model. The record is from RNAcentral.